Molecule: ribosomal RNA, 515 nt
Filed under: Selaginella moellendorffii
Lineage: Eukaryota; Viridiplantae; Streptophyta; Lycopodiopsida; Selaginellales; Selaginellaceae
Description: rRNA LSU_rRNA_eukarya
Rfam family: Eukaryotic large subunit ribosomal RNA
Source: RNAcentral
UUAAGCACUCCAUUGGGAGUUCCACUCCCACUCUUAACUCUUCAACUCAGAACUUUUAGUCCAAACAUGUUAUGCUCGUUUGGCUUCUGCUUCGGCCACUACCACAUGGCACCCUUUCAGCUCCACUUUGGGGCUUAGGUAUUUGUGUCUCACAAGAAUGCAGCCUUAAGUGGGUGGUAAAUUCCAUCCAAGGCUAAAUACUGGUGAGAGACCAAUAGUGUUGCGAGGGAAAGAUGAAAAGGACUUUGAAAAGAGAGUUAAGAAGUGCUUGAAAUUGCUAGGAGGGAAGCAAAUGGAUGCCUUGUGUGCCUCUUUGGUUGUGUGUGGAAUGGCAAGAGCUAGUCUGCCAAGCAAGGCAAGGGCCUAUCCAGCAUGGGAGGACACAGCGGGAUAACGGCUUGUGAGCCUCUAGCUCCCUGCCAAUGUUGCCACUACCUCUGAAAAUGGCGGGGUGCUCCAGUGCCCCGCCAAAUACUGGAACUUGGGUAUUCCAUCCAACCCAUCUUGAAAUAUGG